RNAcentral lists this ribosomal RNA (325 nucleotides) under uncultured soil bacterium. RNAcentral describes it as "bacterial SSU rRNA". It matches the Rfam family "Bacterial small subunit ribosomal RNA", at positions 26 to 353 of the family's 1533-position model. The record is from RNAcentral.
AGAUUGAACGCUGGCGGCAUGCCUUACACAUGCAAGUCGAACGGUAACAGGUCUUCGGACGCUGACGAGUGGCGAACGGGUGAGUAAUACAUCGGAACGUGCCCAGUCGUGGGGGGUAACUACUCGAAAGAGUAGCUAAUACCGCAUACGAUCUGAGGAUGAAAGCGGGGGACCUUCGGGCCUCGCGCGAUUGGAGCGGCCGAUGGCAGAUUAGGUAGUUGGUGGGAUAAAAGCUUACCAAGCCGACGAUCUGUAGCUGGUCUGAGAGGACGACCAGCCACACUGGGACUGAGACACGGCCCAGACCUCCGUACGGGAGGCAGCA